AUUUUGUAAAUUAAUUAAAAUAACCUAAUAAGACAAAUGAUAAAAGCUAUCAUUUUUUUAUUCUUUCUUCUUCAACCGUGGGAAAGAACAGAAAAUAGCAGCCAUGGAUGAGCUCCAUUCGGCCAAGUUUUUAUGGCUUAUAUAGAUGAUGAAAAUUGAGACUUGGACCUAGAACGGAAAGAAAUCGAUUUAUGGACGAGUAUAUCCUUUUCACAUUUGUGGUAUCGAGAGUUCCAGGUUAGCUCGGGUUGGAGGCCGUCGGAGAUAUUAUCACCCUAUCGAGUUAACGUUAUCGGAAUUUUGCUCGUUAGCUAUCGGAUUCGGGAUCAUCGAAGUCGAAGUCAUCCACACUAUCAAAGCCCUUUGGUACUCUUUUAGUUGAACUCUGGAUAUGGCAUGUAUAGGACUACCCUUUGCUGUUUUUUUUCAAGUACGUUUUGUGAUGUAUGUGUGUACAGCCAUGCGAAAAUGGCUCGUAAAAGUGGAGUAUGGCAUUAGACCAUUUGUGUUUAUGUAUAUAUAUAUGGUUUCAUGAUGUGACUAUGGACUGGAAUGGAAGUGUUGGGCAAUGAUCAGCCCUUGGGAUGGCUAAA
Long non-coding RNA from Gossypium arboreum, 593 nucleotides. RefSeq lists it as uncharacterized. The transcript is spliced from 4 exons. NCBI's taxonomy places the organism in Eukaryota, Viridiplantae, Streptophyta, Magnoliopsida, Malvales, Malvaceae. The record is from RefSeq and is a predicted model, not a curated record.